GCUACUGUGCCAGCUGGUGAAUGGCUCGGCUCGAGAGCCGAC
This 42-nucleotide ribosomal RNA is filed under the name Halopenitus malekzadehii. RNAcentral's name for it is "23S rRNA. Archaeal LSU". Lineage: Archaea; Methanobacteriati; Methanobacteriota; Halobacteria; Halobacteriales; Haloferacaceae. The record is from RNAcentral.